UACGUAGGGGGCAAGCGUUAUCCGGAAUUACUGGGUGUAAAGGGAGCGUAGACGGCAUUGCAAGUCCGGAGUGAAAACCCAUGGCUCAACUAUGGGAUGGCUCUGGAGACUGUAAGGCUAGAGUACCGGAGAGGUAAGCGGAAUUCCUGGUGUAGCGGUGAAAUGCGUAGAUAUCAGGAGGAACACCAGUGGCGAAGGCGGCUUACUGGACGGAAACUGACGUUGAGGCUCGAAAGCGUGGGGAGCAAACA
RNAcentral lists this ribosomal RNA (251 nucleotides) under uncultured bacterium. RNAcentral describes it as "partial 16S ribosomal RNA". It matches the Rfam family "Bacterial small subunit ribosomal RNA", at positions 524 to 774 of the family's 1533-position model. The record is from RNAcentral.